This 224-nucleotide long non-coding RNA is filed under the name Elaeis guineensis (African oil palm). RNAcentral describes it as "long non-coding RNA (EGUI_LNC054698)". Lineage: Eukaryota; Viridiplantae; Streptophyta; Magnoliopsida; Arecales; Arecaceae. The record is from RNAcentral.
GGGUUAAAAGUCAAUCUAUCCAUCUGAUGGAUGGGAUGGAGAUGUAAAUACAUCCGUAUCAUCAAACGAGAUGUGUAGGAACAAUCCAUUCAAGAAUCAGAGGAAUAUAUCGAAAUAUAUCCCUCUAUAAUGGUUUAGGCUAGAAGCAGGAGGGAGGGGUAUCUAGGGGGUCAAAAUUUAAUCUAACCAUUUGAUGGAUGGAUUGGAGGUGUUUAUAGCUUCAU